This 301-nucleotide ribosomal RNA is filed under the name uncultured bacterium. RNAcentral describes it as "partial 16S ribosomal RNA". It matches the Rfam family "Bacterial small subunit ribosomal RNA", at positions 509 to 807 of the family's 1533-position model. The record is from RNAcentral.
CAGCCGCCGCGGUAAAACGAAGGGGGCUAGCGUUGUUCGGAUUUACUGGGCGUAAAGCGCACGUAGGCGGAUCGAUCAGUCAGGGGUGAAAUCCCAGAGCUCAACUCUGGAACUGUCUUUGAUACUGUCGAUCUGGAGUAUGGAAGAGGUGAGUGGAAUUCCGAGUGUAGAGGUGAAAUUCGUAGAUAUUCGGAGGAACACCAGUGGCGAAGGCGGCUCACUGGUCCAUUACUGACGCUGGGGUGCGAAAGCGUGGGGAGCAAACAGGAUUAGAUACCCCCGUAGUCCCUGUCUCUUAUAC